Molecule: ribosomal RNA, 1175 nt
Filed under: Staphylococcus aureus
Lineage: Bacteria; Bacillati; Bacillota; Bacilli; Caryophanales; Staphylococcaceae
Description: bacterial SSU rRNA
Rfam family: Bacterial small subunit ribosomal RNA
Source: RNAcentral
AACGGACGAGAAGCUUGCUUCUCUGAUGUUAGCGGCGGACGGGUGAGUAACACGUGGAUAACCUACCUAUAAGACUGGGAUAACUUCGGGAAACCGGAGCUAAUACCGGAUAAUAUUUUGAACCGCAUGGUUCAAAAGUGAAAGACGGUCUUGCUGUCACUUAUAGAUGGAUCCGCGCUGCAUUAGCUAGUUGGUAAGGUAACGGCUUACCAAGGCAACGAUGCAUAGCCGACCUGAGAGGGUGAUCGGCCACACUGGAACUGAGACACGGUCCAGACUCCUACGGGAGGCAGCAGUAGGGAAUCUUCCGCAAUGGGCGAAAGCCUGACGGAGCAACGCCGCGUGAGUGAUGAAGGUCUUCGGAUCGUAAAACUCUGUUAUUAGGGAAGAACAUAUGUGUAAGUAACUGUGCACAUCUUGACGGUACCUAAUCAGAAAGCCACGGCUAACUACGUGCCAGCAGCCGCGGUAAUACGUAGGUGGCAAGCGUUAUCCGGAAUUAUUGGGCGUAAAGCGCGCGUAGGCGGUUUUUUAAGUCUGAUGUGAAAGCCCACGGCUCAACCGUGGAGGGUCAUUGGAAACUGGAAAACUUGAGUGCAGAAGAGGAAAGUGGAAUUCCAUGUGUAGCGGUGAAAUGCGCAGAGAUAUGGAGGAACACCAGUGGCGAAGGCGACUUUCUGGUCUGUAACUGACGCUGAUGUGCGAAAGCGUGGGGAUCAAACAGGAUUAGAUACCCUGGUAGUCCACGCCGUAAACGAUGAGUGCUAAGUGUUAGGGGGUUUCCGCCCCUUAGUGCUGCAGCUAACGCAUUAAGCACUCCGCCUGGGGAGUACGACCGCAAGGUUGAAACUCAAAGGAAUUGACGGGGACCCGCACAAGCGGUGGAGCAUGUGGUUUAAUUCGAAGCAACGCGAAGAACCUUACCAAAUCUUGACAUCCUUUGACAACUCUAGAGAUAGAGCCUUCCCCUUCGGGGGACAAAGUGACAGGUGGUGCAUGGUUGUCGUCAGCUCGUGUCGUGAGAUGUUGGGUUAAGUCCCGCAACGAGCGCAACCCUUAAGCUUAGUUGCCAUCAUUAAGUUGGGCACUCUAAGUUGACUGCCGGUGACAAACCGGAGGAAGGUGGGGAUGACGUCAAAUCAUCAUGCCCCUUAUGAUUUGGGCUACACACGUGC